UACGUAGGUGGCAAGCGUUGUCCGGAUUAUUGGGUUUAAAGGGUGCGUAGGCGGUCUUAUAAGUCAGUGGUGAAAUACGGCAGCUCAACUGUCGAGGUGCCAUUGAUACUGUAGGACUUGAGUACAGACGAGGUAGGCGGAAUUGACGGUGUAGCGGUGAAAUGCUUAGAUAUCGUCAAGAACACCGAUAGCGAAGGCAGCUUACUAGGCUGUAACUGACGCUGAGGCACGAAAGUGUGGGGAUCAAACAGGA
This 253-nucleotide ribosomal RNA is filed under the name uncultured bacterium. RNAcentral describes it as "partial 16S ribosomal RNA". It matches the Rfam family "Bacterial small subunit ribosomal RNA", at positions 524 to 777 of the family's 1533-position model. The record is from RNAcentral.